RNAcentral lists this ribosomal RNA (429 nucleotides) under Bacteroidota bacterium. Its description in RNAcentral is "Bacteroidetes bacterium partial 16S ribosomal RNA". It matches the Rfam family "Bacterial small subunit ribosomal RNA", at positions 355 to 776 of the family's 1533-position model. Lineage: Bacteria; Pseudomonadati; Bacteroidota. The record is from RNAcentral.
UAGGGAAUCUUCCGCAAUGGACGCAAGUCUGACGGAGCAACGCCGCGUGAGUGAAGAAGGAUUUCGGUUCGUAAAACUCUGUUGUUAGAGAAGAACAGCGCAUAGAGUAACUGUUAUGCGUGUGACGGUAUCUAACCAGAAAGCCACGGCUAACUACGUGCCAGCAGCCGCGGUAAUACGUAGGUCCCGAGCGUUGUCCGGAUUUAUUGGGCGUAAAGCGAGCGCAGGCGGUCAAUUAAGUCUGAUGUGAAAGCCCCCGGCUCAACCGGGGAGGGUCAUUGGAAACUGGUUGACUUGAGUGCAGAAGAGGAGGGUGGAAUUCCAUGUGUAGCGGUGAAAUGCGUAGAUAUAUGGAGGAACACCAGUGGCGAAGGCGACUCUCUGGUCUGUAACUGACGCUGAGGCUCGAAAGCGUGGGUAGCAAACAGG